UACGUAGGGUGCAAGCGUUGUCCGGCAUUAUUGGGCGUAAAGAGCGUGUAGGCGGCCCGAUUAGUCCGCUGUGAAAGUCCAGGGCUCAACCCUGGAAUGCCGGUGGAUACUGUCGGGCUAGAGUCCGGAAGGGGCGAGUGGAAUUCCUGGUGUAGCGGUGAAAUGCGCAGAUAUCAGGAGGAACACCAAUGGCGAAGGCAGCUCGCUGGGACGUGACUGACGCUGAGACGCGAAAGCGUGGGGAGCAAACAGG
RNAcentral lists this ribosomal RNA (253 nucleotides) under uncultured bacterium. Its description in RNAcentral is "partial 16S ribosomal RNA". It matches the Rfam family "Bacterial small subunit ribosomal RNA", at positions 524 to 776 of the family's 1533-position model. The record is from RNAcentral.